GGGUUGUGAGGUUAAGCGACUAAGCGUACACGGUGGAUGCCCUGGCAGUCAGAGGCGAUGAAGGACGUGCUAAUCUGCGAAAAGCGUCGGUAAGGUGAUAUGAACCGUUAUAACCGGCGAUGUCCGAAUGGGGAAACCCAGUGCAAUUCGUUGCACUAUCGUUAACUGAAUACAUAGGUUAACGAGGCGAACCGGGGGAACUGAAACAUCUAAGUACCCCGAGGAAAAGAAAUCAACCGAGAUUCCCCCAGUAGCGGCGAGCGAACGGGGAGCAGCCCAGAGUCUGAAUCAGCUUGUGUGUUAGUGGAACGGUCUGGAAAGUCCGACGGUACAGGGUGAUAGUCCCGUACACCAAAAUGCACAGGUUGUGAACUCGAAGAGUAGGGCGGGACACGUGGUAUCCUGUCUGAAUAUGGGGGGACCAUCCUCCAAGGCUAAAUACUCCUGACUGACCGAUAGUGAACCAGUACCGUGAGGGAAAGGCGAAAAGAACCCCGGCGAGGGGAGUGAAAAAGAACCUGAAACCGUGUACGUACAAGCAGUGGGAGCACCUUCGGGUGUGACUGCGUACCUUUUGUAUAAUGGGUCAGCGACUUAUAUUCUGUAGCAAGGUUAACCGUAUAGGGGAGCCGCAGGGAAACCGAGUCUUAACUGGGCGUUAAGUUGCAGGGUAUAGACCCGAAACCCGGUGAUCUAGCCAUGGGCAGGUUGAAGGUUGGGUAACACUAACUGGAGGACCGAACCGACUAAUGUUGAAAAAUUAGCGGAUGACUUGUGGCUGGGGGUGAAAGGCCAAUCAAACCGGGAGAUAGCUGGUUCUCCCCGAAAGCUAUUUAGGUAGCGCCUCGUGAACUCAUCUUCGGGGGUAGAGCACUGUUUCGGCUAGGGGGUCAUCCCGACUUACCAACCCGAUGCAAACUACGAAUACCGAAGAAUGUUAUCACGGGAGACACACGGCGGGUGCUAACGUCCGUCGUGAAGAGGGAAACAACCCAGACCGCCAGCUAAGGUCCCAAAGUCAUGGUUAAGUGGGAAACGAUGUGGGAAGGCACAGACAGCCAGGAUGUUGGCUUAGAAGCAGCCAUCAUUUAAAGAAAGCGUAAUAGCUCACUGGUCGAGUCGGCCUGCGCGGAAGAUGUAACGGGGCUAAACCAUGCACCGAAGCUGCGGCAGCGACACUAUGUGUUGUUGGGUAGGGGAGCGUUCUGUAAGCCUGCGAAGGUGUGCUGUGAGGCAUGCUGGAGGU
Molecule: ribosomal RNA, 1246 nt
Filed under: Klebsiella pneumoniae
Lineage: Bacteria; Pseudomonadati; Pseudomonadota; Gammaproteobacteria; Enterobacterales; Enterobacteriaceae
Description: bacterial LSU rRNA
Rfam family: Bacterial large subunit ribosomal RNA
Source: RNAcentral